GCCUGGAUGGUGGAAUUGGUAGACACCCGAGACUUAAAAUCUCGUGAGCCUUGCGCUCGUGUCGGUUCGAGUCCGACUCUAGGCACCA
RNAcentral lists this transfer RNA (88 nucleotides) under Desulfobulbaceae bacterium S3730MH12. Its description in RNAcentral is "tRNA-Leu". It matches the Rfam family "tRNA". Rfam says of the family: Transfer RNA (tRNA) molecules are approximately 80 nucleotides in length. Their secondary structure includes four short double-helical elements and three loops (D, anti-codon, and T loops). RNAcentral also lists the same sequence under 4 other names. Lineage: Bacteria; Pseudomonadati; Thermodesulfobacteriota; Desulfobulbia; Desulfobulbales; Desulfobulbaceae. The record is from RNAcentral.